Molecule: ribosomal RNA, 175 nt
Filed under: uncultured bacterium
Lineage: Bacteria
Description: partial 16S ribosomal RNA
Rfam family: Bacterial small subunit ribosomal RNA
Source: RNAcentral
CCUACGGGAGGCAGCAGUGGGGAAUAUUGGACAAUGGGCGAAGGCCUGAUGCAGCAACGCCGCGUGGAGGAUGACACAUUUCGGUGCGUAAACUCCUUUUAUAUAAGAAGAUAAUGACGGUAUUAUAUGAAUAAGCACCGGCUAACUCCGUGCCAGCAGCCGCGGUAAUCUCUAG